UCAGUUCGGACUGGAGUCUGCAACCCGACUCCACGAAGCUGGAUUCGCUAGUAAUCGCGCAUCAGCCACGGCGCGGUGAAUACCGUUCCCGGGCCUUGUACACACCGCCCGUCAAGCCAUGGGAGCCGGGGGUACCUGAAGUGCGUAACCGCGAGGAUCGCCCUAGGGUAAAACUGGUGACUGGGGCUAAGUCGUAACAAGGUAGC
Molecule: ribosomal RNA, 206 nt
Filed under: uncultured bacterium
Lineage: Bacteria
Description: partial 16S ribosomal RNA
Rfam family: Bacterial small subunit ribosomal RNA
Source: RNAcentral